RNAcentral lists this ribosomal RNA (253 nucleotides) under uncultured bacterium. RNAcentral describes it as "partial 16S ribosomal RNA". It matches the Rfam family "Bacterial small subunit ribosomal RNA", at positions 524 to 776 of the family's 1533-position model. The record is from RNAcentral.
AACGUAGGAGACAAACGUUAUCCGGAGUUACUGGGCGUAAAGGGCGUGUAGGUGGUUUUGUAAGUCUGGCGUGAAAUUUUUCGGCUUAACCGGGAAAGGUCGUCGGAUACUGCAAGGCUAGAGGACGGUAGAGGCGUGUGGAAUUCCGGGUGUAGUGGUGAAAUGCGUAGAGAUCCGGAGGAACACCAGUGGCGGAGGCGACACGCUGGGCCGUACCUGACACUGAUGCGCGACAGCAUGGGGAGCAAACAGG